CGGUCCCACCGAUAUUCCAAACUCAGUCACACCGAGAUGAACCACCUCAGCCAUAAGCCAAACCCUAGAAAACUCGGAUUUUCCGAUUCUGAACUCGGUCUCACCGAAACAUGAGUUGCCAAGCUUCUGUAACCUUCUGUCAUCAAAUCGGUGUCACCGAGAUGAUGAAGUCGGUCCCACCGAAACUGGCAUGCUCUUGUCAUUGCAUGAAUCGGACUAACCGAGAUUGUAUUUUCGGUCCCACCGAAAAUCCCAACGUUCACAUUAUUUGAACUAUCGGUCUCACCGAGUUGUCCACUUCGGUCCCACCGAGAUUGCUCAAAUGUGUGUAACGGUUGGAUUUUGUGUGGAGGCUAUUUAUACCCCUCCACCCCCUCUUCAUUCGUGGAGAGAGCCAUCAGAAAGAACUACCACUCCUACCUUACAUUUCUGAGAAGAGAACUACCUACCCUUGUGUUGAGAUCAAGUUGCUCCACUCCCACCAUAUGAAGCUUGAUCUCUAGCCUUCCCAAGUUGCUUUCCACUCAAUCCUUUCUUCCACCAUAGCCAAAUCAGUGAGGAGAGUUGAGUGUUGGGGAGAUUAUCAUUUGAAGCACAAGAGCAAGGAGUUCAUCAUCAUCUACAACAUCUAUUACCUUUUGGAGGGUGGUGCCUCCUAGAUUGGUUAGGUGUCGCUUGGGAGCCUCCGUCAUCGAGAUGUGGAGUUGAACCAAGAAGUUUGUAAGGGCAAGGAGAUCGCCUACUUCGUGAAGAUCUACCCCGAGUAAGGCUAGCCCUCCGUGGGCGUAGGCCAUGAUGGGAUAGACAAGGUUGCUUCUUCGUGGACCCUUCGUGGGUGGAGCCCUCCGUGGACUCGCGUAGCCGUUACCCUCCGUGGGUUGAAGUCUCCAUCAACGUGGAAGUACGAUAGCACCACCUAUCGGAACCACGAGAAAAAUCACCGCGUCUCCAAAUUGCGUUUGAUCUUCUCCACUUCUCUUUACUACUUGUGCAAUUUACUUUCCGCUGCCCAUACUCUAGAAUUGCAUGUGUAGUGUGCUACUUGACUUGUAUGUUAUGCAAAAUCUGCCAAAAUCUGUCCUUGAUAAAAGACAGAAUUUUUAUCUUGUCGAGUAGUCUAAUCACCCCCCCUCUAGACACUCUCACCUUCUUCGAUCCCUCAAUUGGUAUCAGAGCAUUGGUUUCCAUUGCUUUGGUUUACACACCAUUGGAGGAAGAUGGACGUGUCUACGUUUGGGAGUGUUAGCCAUAGAGUGCCUAUUCUUAAUGGAGUGUCCUAUAACUCGUGGAGGAUUGAAAUGCUUAUUAUCUUUAAGACAUACAAUUUGCGCAAAUAUGUUGAGACCCCCUAUGUGCCUCAAUUUGACCCCUUGCACCCUACCAUGGAUGAAGAGCUUGAUUUGCUUCGUAACCUUAGGACUGUAAAUCUUAUCAUUAGAGGGUUACCCGAUAACUUGCUUAAGCUCGUUACAAACUUUGAGUGCGCCUAUGCUAUGUGGAAGUUCUUGGAAGAACUUUAUCCGGACUACUCUUUGAGAGGUCUUGAUGAAAUUCUAUACAAGACUAUUGAAUUUGAUAUAAUGCGCCCCAAUGAUCCCAACUUUGAUAAAUGCUUCUUUGAGCUUUGUGAUCUUAUGAAAAAGAAGGGUGAUCCCGGUCUUAUCAAUGUUCUAAUUAGAAAUGCUCUUGUAUUGCAUUCCGAUGAUUAUUGUCACAUUGACAAAACUAAUGCAAGUAGUUAUCAAAUUGACCUAGGUGUUGAUGAUGAACAAUCUAUGGGUCAAUAUGAUGAUGAGCAUGAGCAUGAUGAUGAUUACUCCGAUUCGGACACCGAGCUAGACAAGAUCAUGAAGAGUCUCAAUCUUAUGGCAAAUCUGAGAGACUACAUAUCCGGCGGAAAAGAGUGGAUUCUUGAUAGUGGAUGCACCGACCACAUGACCGGAGACAAAGACAUGUUUCGAGAGCUUGCAAAGAACGAUGGUCCACGCAAGUAUGUGACUUUUGGAGACAACUCCAAGGGUAAGGUACUUGGCCUUGGUAAGGUGGCCAUAUCUCAUGAUAGCUCUAUUCAAAAUGUCAUGCUUGUAGAAUCUCUUGGAUACAAUUUACUUUCCGUGUCUAGAUUAGCUGACUUUGGAUUCAACGUGCUAUUCACCGAAGUAGAUUGCCAAGUCUUUUGUCGUGACAAUCAUAACAUGGCGUUUACCGGUAUCCGUAGAGGUGAUCUAUAUAUUGUUGAUUUCACUAAGAAAGCCCAACCUAGAGCUUGCUUCAUUGCUAAAUCCGCUAAAGGUUGGUUAUGGCAUAGAAGGCUUGGACAUGUUGGUAUGCGUAAUCUAGACAAGCUGAUCAAAGGUGAUCAUAUUCUUGGCGUUAAAGAUGUUUUUUUUGACAAAGAUAGACUUUGUAGUGCUUGUCAAGCAGGAAAACAAGUAGGUGGAAGUCAUCCCGUGAAGAACAUCAUGACCACAAGGAGACCGCUUGAGCUUAUUCAUAUGGAUCUCUUCGGUCCCAAUGCUUACAAAAGCCUUGGUGGUAACUCCUUUGGUCUAGUUAUAGUUGAUGAUUAUUCCAGAUUUACGUGGGUAUUUUUCCUUGAUGACAAAUCGCAGGUUCAGAGAAUCUUCAAAACCUUUGCCAGAAAGGCCCAAAAUCAAUUUGAGGUGAAGAUCAAGAAAGUUCGGAGUGACAAUGGAACGGAGUUCAAGAACGCCAAUGUAGACUCUUUUCUCGAUGAGGAAGGGAUUCUACAUGAGUUCUCGGCUACAUACACUCCUCAACAAAAUGGAGUUGUUGAGAGGAAGAACCGAACGCUCAUAGAGAUGGCGAGAACAAUGCUUGAUGAAUACAAGACACCGAAGCAUUUUUGGGGUGAAGCGGUCGAGACAGCUUGUCAUGCUAUCAACAGGCUUUAUCUUCAUAAGCUCCUCGGCAAGACAUCAUACGAGCUCCUCACCGGUAACAAACCCCAAGUGGGAUACUUUCGUGUCUUUGGUUCGAAAUGCUAUAUCCUUGAUAAGCAUCGUCGGUCUAAAUUUGCUCCUAAAACUCAUGAAGGCUUUUUUCUUGGUUAUGGAUCAAACUCCCACACCUACCGUGUCUACAAUAAUUUCACCCGAAAGGUUGAAGAGACGGUAGACGUGAAGUUUGAUGAAUCUAAUGGCUCGCAAGUAGAGCAAAUGCCUAUUGAUGUAGGAGACAAGGACCCAUCGGAAGCUAUCCAAGAUUUAUCUAUUGGAAAGAUCCGUCCCAUGGAAGUGAAGGAGAGUACCUCAUCUACAUAUGUGGAGCCCCCUACCUCACAGCGAAAUGAACCUCAAGGCAACAUGGAGGCUUCCACAAGUGGAACUCACCAAGAUGAGGAAGUGCAACAAGAAGAUCCACCACAACCUCCUUCUCCACCGCCUCAAGACAACACCAACAACAAUGAAGAAGAAGAAGAGGAAGAUGAAGAUGAUGAGGAAGCUCAGCCACAACCUCAACAAAAGCUAUCCCGAGUUCGAGCAAGAGUCAAGAAAAAUCAUCCCGUGGAACAAAUGAUGAACGAUAUCAACUCCGGGAGAAUUACUCGCUCUAAAACUCGCUUAGCUAACUUUUGUGAGCAUUACUCAUUUAUCUAUAGUAUUGAACCUAUGAAGGUAGAAGAAGCACUUGAAGACCCGGAUUGGGUGAACGCUAUGCACGAAGAAUUACACAACUUUGAGAGGAACAAGGUAUGGACUUUGGUAGAGAAGCCCAAGGAUGAUCAAAACGUCAUUGGAACCAAAUGGGUGUUUCGAAACAAGCAAGAUGAAGAUGGACAAGUCAUCCGCAACAAGGCUCGUCUCGUAGCUCAAGGUUACACACAAGUUGAAGGUAUGGACUAUGGUGAGACCUAUGCCCCCGUUGCUAGACUUGAGUCCAUUCACAUUCUUCUUGCUUAUGCCAAUCACCAUGAUAUUACUCUCUAUCAAAUGGAUAUCAAAAGUGCUUUCCUAAAUGGUGAAAUUGAGGAGGAAGUAUUUGUGAAACAACCUCCCAGAUUUGUGAAUCCCAAAAAGCCUAAUCAUGUUUACAAGUUGCACAAAGCUCUUUAUGGUCUUAAACAAGCUCCUAGAGCUUGGUACAAAUGCUUGACUAGCUUUCUUCUUGAAAAAGGCUUUGAGAUUGGAAAGAUAGACUCAAUGCUGUUCACGAAAAGGGUUGAUGGUGAACUAUUUGUGUGCCAAAUAUAUGUUGAUGAUAUUAUCUUUGGUUCAACUAACCCUCAUUUUAGCGAGAAGUUUGGAAAGCUCAUGUCGGAGAAGUAUGAGAUGUCCAUGAUGAGUGAACUCAAAUUCUUCCUUGGGUUGCAAAUCAAGCAAUCUAAGGAGGGUACCUUUGUCUCACAAACAAAGUACACCAAGGAUCUCUUCAAGAAGUUCAACAUGCAAGAAAGCAAAGGUAUGAGAACCCCCAUGCCUACAAGUGAACAUAAUGACUUGACAAAAGAUGGAGAACCCGUUGAUCAAAAGGUUUACCGAUCUAUGAUUGGUUCUCUACUAUAUCUUUGUGCUUCUCGUCCUGACAUAAUGUUGAGUGUAUGCAUGUGUGCUCGAUAUCAAGCAGCCCCUAAAGAAUGUCAUCUUAAAGCUGUUAAAAGGAUUGUGAGAUAUUUGAUACACACACCAAACUUUGGCAUUUGGUAUCCUAAGAGGGCCUCUUUCGACCUUAUUGGCUAUUCCGACUCGGACUGUGCUGGUGACAGGGUUGAUAGAAAGUCAACUUCGGGUACGUGUCAAUUCCUUGGUCGAUCCCUUGUAUCUUGGUCCUCCAAGAAACAAAAUUCGGUAUCAUUAUCCACUGCCGAAGCGGAAUAUAUUGCUGCUGGUUCGUGUUGUGCUCAAUUGCUAUGGAUGACACAAACGCUUAAGGAUUAUGGGAUACAUGUGAGACAUGUUCCCUUGCUUUGUGAUAAUGAGAGUGCGAUUAAAAUUGGACACAAUCCCGUGCAACACUCUCGAACGAAACAUAUUGAAGUUCGUCACCAUUUCAUUCGUGAUCACAUUGCCAAGGGUGACAUCAAUCUUAAGCAUGUUCGUACUGACAAACAACUCGCUGAUAUCUUUACAAAACCUCUUGAUGAGAAGGUGUUUUGUCGCUUAAGGAGUGAGUUGAACAUCAUUGAUGCCUCAAACUUGGAGUGAGAACUCCAUUGAUGCAUGCAAGGCAUGAGCCUACUUGACUAAUCCUUGAUAUUUCUCUUAUGAUGGUAAUCAUAUGUCUUGGACACAUUUGCCUCCUUGUAUUGCAUCUAACUCCUUGCAGGUACUUGGAUGAUCUACAUUCCACAAGACUACCACACACUCAAAUCAUGAGUAAUCUUGUCAUUGACCAAGUAUCUAGCCCUUUGGGAUGUUGAGUUCAAGGAACAAAAUUCCACAUAUCCUUUUUGACAUCUUAUACAUCUAGUAUUUCGCUCUUGUCAUCUUGGAUAUCCUUGAGUAUUUCCUUGCUUGCCUAACCCAUGUAGGAAGAUGAACUACACAAGUGGAAAUGGCGCUCCAACUUCACAUUCAAUGAGCACCUACAUCAAGUUUACCUACAUGAACAAAGCAACAACAAGCCCAAGGUAUGUUCUUCACAUCUUUAAGGAGCUUUGCUCAAAGUCAUGAGUACACGCAGCUUCAUAAGAUGUGAUCACAUCAAAUGCUUAAUCGAAAAAUGGCAACCCCAUUUUGAGCUUAAACGAUGAGUAUGACCCAUGAUCAAAUGUUCUCAUUUGACUCCUAAGUCAAUAUACUCACACAUAGGUGACCUUGUCGCCGACCCUUAUCUAGAUGAAGUACAUAUGUUUUGGAGUCUUUCUAUUUUCUCUUAUGUUCUCUCAUUGAGUUUUUUUUUUAAAAAAACUUCAUCUAGGAAUCUUUUUCAUUUCUUUUUUUUGGUCUUUGUGAAUAUCCUUCUGGCUCUGAUCAAUUCCUCGAAAAUCAUUCACAAAUUCAUUGCAAACCCUUUGAAACAUUCCUCGCAAAUUGAGCUGAAUUAUUUCUGUAUUUCCUUGGAAUUAAACUCGGCGUCACCGAUUUAAAUAUUUCGGUCUAACCGAAAAGGAUCUACCCUAAGUCCCUGACUUUCGGACCCACCGAUCCAUCUUAAUUCGGUGUCACCGAUUUAUUUCUUUCAGGAUAUCAUCUUCUGCAGCUCCACUCAAUGAUUCUCUAUGCAUGUUCCUUUUUGCCCUAUUGUGAUUCUUAAGGAUCCCACUUCUUUCUUUCCAUCUUCCCUAACCUUCCUAGUUUGCUGUCCUUUUCGGCACUUGAUGUCAAAGGGGGAGAAGACUUAGGGGAGAAGAGAAGAUUUAGGGGGAGAAGAAGAGCAAUCUUACCUUAAGGGGGAGAGAAUCACAUCAAAGCUUUGCCGUGUUUUUCCUUAUAAGAGAAUUUCUUGCCGUGUUUCACAUUGGACAUUACAAUUGGCGUCAUUCUCAUUUGGCAUCAUUCUUUUGAUUUUGCUCUUUCCAUCAAACCCCUUGAUCGUAGAGAACUCAAAGGGAGAGGAAUCUUCACAAUUGAUAUCUUAUGGAAAGCAAAAUCUCUCAGAGUUCAUUGAAAAUCUUUUAGUUUCAGAGACAUGUUUGCUGAUUCAAGCUUGUGCUCAAUAUGAGACACUCUUUAUACAUGUCAUCCCUGGCUUGGUACUCUUGAUGUUCUUGCAGUUGGUUGAAGAAAUACUCUUGUGUUAUCUAACCUUGUUUUCCCAAGUUUAUCUCUUCAGGUACAAUGCCAAGGAACCUCAAGGUAAGUAUAUGCACUUUGCAGAAUGUGCAUGAUGGUGACUUGCUUGUGAAUACUUGUUUGCAAGAAAUCACCAUGCACAUAUGCAUUAUCACUCACUUCUUUUCAUCUGCUCUGAUGCAUGUAGCCAAGCUGCAUGUAGCACAUCUUGCUUUUCUCUCUUGUGUGCUUGUGGUAGUCCAAAACCGUAAUUUAUGAAAAUCUUGCACACUUGUAGGGGGAGCCUGUGUACUACAUGCUUGUCAAAGCUUUCGUGAUAAUUCUGUCUUUCUUUCAAUAAGCUUUGAUGUCUUGUUUAGUGUGUUGCCAUCAAUUACCAAAAAGGGGGAGAUUGAAAGCACAUUUGCUCCUCGGGUGGUUUUGGUAAUUAAUGACAACAUACUUUGUGGUUGGACUAAUGCUUUUAUCAAGUAUGUUUCAGGAAAUUCAAUCACAUUGGCAUGGCAAAAGGACUAAAGAGGUGGACCCCUCAAAAUGCUAAGGCAAGCAUUGGCAAAAGCUCAAGACUCCAUUUUUGGUUUAGUGAUCCUAGAUCACAUUGAGUCCAUAGGAAAAGCCAAUACUAUUAAAAGGGGAUGAGGUUAUGAUGAUGAUCUGGUUGCUCAAGUGCUUAGUGAUACAUCUCCUAAACUAUCAGCAACUUUCACUGCCAUAUACACUCAUAAGUAGUCUCGGUCCCACCGAUAUUCCAAACUCAGUCACACCGAGAUGAACCACCUCAGCCAUAAGCCAAACCCUAGAAAACUCGGAUUUUCCGAUUCUGAACUCGGUCUCACCGAAACAUGAGUUGCCAAGCUUCUGUAACCUUCUAUCAUCAAAUCGGUGUCACCGAGAUGAUGAAGUCGGUCCCACCGAAACUGGCAUGCUCUUGUCAUUGCACGAAUCGGACUAACCGAGAUUGUAUUUUCGGUCCCACCGAAAAUCCCAACGUUCACAUUAUUUGAACUAUCAGUCUCACCGAGUUGUCCACUUCGGUCCCACCGAGAUUGCUCAAAUGUGUGUAACGGUUGGAUUUUGUGUGGAGGCUAUUUAUACCCCUCCACCCCCUCUUCAUUCGUGGAGAGAGCCAUCAGAAAGAACUACCACUCCUACCUUACAUUUCUGAGAAGAGAACUACCUACCCUUGUGUUGAGAUCAAGUUGCUCCACUCCCACCAUAUGAAGCUUGAUCUCUAGCCUUCCCAAGUUGCUUUCCACUCAAUCCUUUCUUCCACCACAGCCAAAUCAGUGAGGAGAGUUGAGUGUUGGGGAGAUUAUCAUUUGAAGCACAAGAGCAAGGAGUUCGUCAUCAUCUACAACAUCUAUUACCUUUUGGAGGGUGGUGCCUCCUAGAUUGGUUAGGUGUCGCUUGGGAGCCUCCGUCAUCGAGAUGUGGAGUUGAACCAAGAAGUUUGUAAGGGCAAGGAGAUCGCCUACUUCGUGAAGAUCUACCCCGAGUAAGGCUAGCCCUCCGUGGGCGUAGGCCAUGAUGGAAUAGACAAGGUUGCUUCUUCGUGGACCCUUCGUGGGUGGAGCCCUCCGUGGACUCGCGCAGCCGUUACCCUCCGUGGGUUGAAGUCUCCAUCAACGUGGAAGUACGAUAGCACCACCUAUCGGAACCACGAGAAAAAUCACCGCGUCUCCAAAUUGCGUUUGAUCUUCUCCACUUCUCUUUACUACUUGUGCAAUUUACUUUCCGCUGCCCAUACUCUAGAAUUGCAUGUGUAGUGUGCUACUUGACUUGUAUGUUAUGCAAAAUCUGCCAAAAUCUGUCCUUGAUAAAAGACAGAAUUUUUAUCUUGUCGAGUAGUCUAAUCACCCCCCCCUCUAGACACUCUCACCUUCUUCGAUCCCUCAAG
This 8592-nucleotide long non-coding RNA is filed under the name Triticum aestivum (bread wheat). RNAcentral describes it as "long non-coding RNA (TAES_LNC025241)". Lineage: Eukaryota; Viridiplantae; Streptophyta; Magnoliopsida; Poales; Poaceae. The record is from RNAcentral.